Long non-coding RNA from Brassica rapa (field mustard), 9886 nucleotides. RefSeq lists it as uncharacterized. Lineage: Eukaryota; Viridiplantae; Streptophyta; Magnoliopsida; Brassicales; Brassicaceae. The record is from RefSeq and is a predicted model, not a curated record.
GUAAAAAAAACCUAAAAGAAUACUCUUAUAUCAAAACAAUUCUUGUUAUCCUAAUUUCUAAAUUACAACUCGAAAUGUAUAAAUUUGUUUAUAAAAAAAAGAAAACUUUCAUAAAAUAGAAUUUUUGAGAACUUUAUUUUUAAAAAUACACCCUAUUGAUAAAAAAAAACCUAAUAACAUACCCAUCCACCAACAAAAUUUCUUGUUGUUCUAAAUUCUAAAUCACAACUUCAAAUUUACAAUAUUUCUCCAUAAAAAGAAAAUCUUUCCUAAAAUAGAAUUUCUGCGAAUUUUAUUUAUAAAAUAGAACCUAUUGAACAAAAAAUUAAAAAGAAUACUCAUCUAUUAAAAAAAUUCUUGUUAUUCUAAUUUCUAAAUCACAAUUCCAAAUGUUUAAUAUUUUUCACUAAAAAUAAAAAAUUUACUAAAAUAAAAAUUUUGAGAACUUUAUUUUAAAAAUACACCCUAUUGUUCAAAAAACCUAAAAGAAUACUAAUCUAUCAAAAAUAAUUCUUGUAAUUGUCCAUAUAUUUAGAUAACAAGCUUCAGCAACUUCCUCUUAAAAGUUUCAACUCCAUAAAUAAUUUAUUACUAUUAAUAUCACAACAAUAAUUUAUUACUAUCAAUAUCACACUAAUUACGAUGUUUGAGAAAAAAACUAAAAGUUAGUUUCUUAAUUUUAGAGUUAAUCCAACAUUUUUUUUGAAAGAAACCAAACUUUUGAUUCACAAUUUUGAUAAGUAAUUGAUUCUGAAGUUUUGUUGCUAUAAAUGUCACACCUUGGUCAUUUUUUCUAGGUUUUUCAUCAUGAUAUUUGCUUUUUAUUAAUGAACUGUUUUGCUUUCACAUAAAAUACAUGAUCAAUUUCUAUAGCAAUAGCAAUAUGUUCAGCUUCUACUUUUGCUUAUUGGAAACAUAUUUCUCUAUAGUCUUAUAAAAAAAGAAAUACCACAUUUCAGUUGAAUAAUAGCAAUAUCAUAUAUAUAUUUUCUAAUUGUACAAUCUUACUUACUUUGUUAACAACAAACAAAAGCUCAUACCAAAUAACCAUUUCAAUCAAAACUCAAAGCUUCCAAUUCCAUAAAUUCCACUUAUUGCAAGAGACUCAACAUCACUUCUUAUUCCUGGAUUUCCACUGUUUUCAGCCAAGUAAAACAAAGGCUCUCGUAUUUAUGGAGUAUGAAAUUGUAUUGCUUUAACACUUUUGAUGCGGCUUUCCCAACGAAUUUGUGAUAAUGGUUUUAUUGUAACACCAAUCACAAUCUCUCUGAAAACUUCACAGUUGUUUGUAGAAGAAGCAAACAAAUUAUAGAUGCAUUGAAUAAUUCCAAAAAUGAUAGUUAUCAAAGAAGCGAUAUCAGAAAGUGCAAGAUUUAGACUAUUGACAACCGCAUGGUGUGUAGACAACCCUGAGAUUAAUUUCUGGCAACCUGUUUUGUACUCCUUAACUUUCACUUUCAUGUUGAUUCAUUAUCAUAACCUUGCCCUCUAAUGUCAUCUAUACUCAGCCCAAGACUAUGCAACACAUCUUGAAGGGUGUCAAAAAUCACUUCUCCUAUUUUGUCUUUGACUUCCAAGAAUGUCAAAAAAAAUUAUUUCAAUCUUUGGAGAAGUCUCGAAAAUAUGCACACGUCGGAUAACCAUGGACAUUUGUUCCCGUUGACUGAUAUCAGUUGUGCUGGCAAGAAUAACUGAAAAAUACUUUGCAUAUCGAAUCUUCUUUGAGAUCAUUUGUUUGAUCUCAUUCUCAAGCAUCUCUAUCAACUCAAUUUGAAUCAUGUGAUUGAGAUAAUGAUAAUGAGAGUUUCACGCUUAGAUCCGUCUAACGUGUUCUUUCAUCACUGGAUCAAAAUCUGCAAAUACUUCAAUCAUACAAAAGAAAUUACCAUUACCAUUCACAUGGAUCUUAUCACUAUUUCCAUGAAAUGCAACAUUUUGUUUAGCAAUUCUUUUUACCACUGCAAUUAUACUCAGCAACACAUCUCUCCAGUGUUUUUUUUUCUCUUUGUUGAUCUCUUCUUGAAUAGGCUUAUCAAUUGUUUGAUUCUUAUGAUCUCUCUUCCAACUCCAUCCAUUGAAUCAUGCAUGUGAUAUGCUUAUGAUCUUUUUCAUGUUCCUUAACCAGUUUCCAGUUUUGAGACAUUUCUCCUAUCAUCAGACCUAAUAGUUGCCAACAAAUUCGUAAGUUUAUCUUGCAUAAAUAACUUACUUCUCUCCAUUCAUUAUUUUUCUGGUAUAAAACGAAUGAGAAAAAAAAAUUGACUAAAUAAUCUAUUGAAAAAUGAUAAUCAAUUGAAGGUUUUGCCAUUGGACCUUUUUCAACCAUAAAAUCUCUCAUUUUUUAUCAAAUUUUCCCAACUUCGAGGACCAUUUAUAUCUCCAUCUAUCUGAUAUUCCUUAACACCAUAUGCGUUAUCAUCCUCUUCAUUCUCAUUCUCGUCAAACUCAUGUUCAUUGCCUUGUUCACCAUUGUUUUCAUUUUGAUAAUGAUCAAACCCACUAGCUUCUUCUCAGCUUUUAUUACUCUUCCUCUAAGAAUUCAUCAAGUGUAGGAGGUUAAGAUUUUUUACAUACCUUAACAUGCAAUCAGCCAUUGAAUUUAUUAGUGUUUCUUGCUUAUUCUUUUAUCUUACUUUAGCUGCACAUCUCAUCUUAUUUUUUUAUUAGUUUUGAAUACAUUGAACUACAAAAAAAAAUUGUGAGAAAUUAUAUCGUUAUAUAAAAGUAAGAUACAAUGAUAAAAGUAAGAAAAUAGAGUGAGUUGGGUUAAAACCCCAAAAUAAUAUGAAAAUUAAGAGAAUACCCAAAACAGUAAAAAUGCAGGUUUCGGUAUUUGUGUUGGAUAAGCAAGAUUACCAUUUUAUCCCUCAGUGAAUAAAACAUGUUUUGCAUUUGUAGGUAUAGUGUCAAAAAAAUGUGUUUUAGGUUUGUACAACAGAUUUACGUAAUAUUUCCUUUAGAUUUUUUUUGUUUUUAUGUAAAUUGGUAAAUACUGACAAAAAAAAAACUAGUAUUCUUCCCGUACUGCGUACGGGGAAAGGAAGUGAUUAAUUUAUUAUGUUAAAAAGUAUGAUUUGUAGCAAAUUUUAUUGCAUGAUUCAUGCUAAUAGCAUUUUCCUCUACACUAAUGAUAUAUUCUUUUCGAAUUCCCUUUACAUUUUAGACGGAUAAAGUGAUUAAUGAUAUAUUCUUUUCAAAUUCAUUUUACAUUUUUAAUUCAGUUACUUGGUUGCAAGGUUAGUGUUGAUCAUUAUAUAUGCUUAUAUAUACAGAAGCCAAUACAUGUAUGUAACAUAUAUACACACACACUCGUGACAGAUGUGCCUAAACUAAGUCGAUUUUCAAUUUAAACAAAAAAAGAAAAGAAGAAAUAACUCGAUUUCAGCUCCAUCACAGAAUUGAUAUAUAUUUUCAUUAUAAAUACAAACCAUAUGCACUGGAAUGCAUUAACUUCUAACCAUACAUACUUCAGCUACGUAUGGAAAAUCAGUUGGACUCUCAGCUCAGGAUUUCAUCUAAUAUGGACUGAAAAAUAUUUGUAAAAAUUCCAAUUUCAUUAACACUGAUGGAAAAAAAUGUCAGUUACGAUUUUUUUGUUUAGAUAUUAUAUUUAAUUAUAUAAAAAUAUGUUGCCUCACUCCUGGUGAUGCCACCUCAUCAAAUAGCUUCACCACAGUUUGACACGUGUCUCCUAAAAAAAAAGUCGAUGGGUUUCGUUUUAUUUUGGCUUUCACGAAUUGAUUAUUUGUAGUGUCUAGAUAAUGUAUUUUGGGCUGGAACCCAAAUAAAAACUAGGCCCAUUUCAGCUACAUCUUCUUCCCAAUUAUUCUAGGGUUCAUCGUCUCUUCCGGAAUCUGAUUCCGUCUACCAACCAUGGAGGUUUUGAAAUGGGGUUUGAGUCAAGUCUUCCUUAGUAAUCUACGCGUUGUGUCUGUUCAUGUCGUUUUGGUCUCUAUUCUUCACCUCUCACCCGUUACAAGUCGCAUUGAAUCACCUUCAUUAACCAAUAUUUAAUUUUUCCUAUCCACUACAACCACGAUUUCGCAUUCAAUGAAUCUUAUCAUUCUUUCCGGCAAUGAUUCUUACCUAUAAAAAGGUAUGGCUUCAUCAAGUCAACUGCUCAGUCCCGGCUCUUCCCUCCUCAGGUCGUUUGAUAAAGGAAGCCUUAAUGUGGUUGGCCGAAGACUUUGAAGGAAAAGGCGGCCGGAGUGGGAGAAACAUUGGAAGGAAGAGGACUGGAUUAGCCAUGUCUCGAUUGCGUCUAACCCAUACCCGUAAGUUGUCGAAUUGGGUUUGGAGUCAGUUUCGGUUAACCAGAAUCCAGUCAGGUAGUACUAGAGUUAACUGGUUAUGGAAAAGAUGCAGAAAUCUAAAAAAAAUGAGUCUGAAAUCAUGUGGAACCAUUGGAGAAAUAGAAGAAUUUUUCUGUUUGUAUCUGUAGAAUCUUAAAAGAGAUUGAGCUUAGGACUUGCAGAAGAAGUAUAAUGUUGAUAAAAAAUAAGUAUUGUGGAUGCGGUUUUGCUGGAAGUUUCAGAAAUUUGUGAAUCUUUCAAGUCUCUGUGGAUAUAUGAUGGUGGUUGCAAAUACGGAAUGUUCGUACAUCUCAUUUCUCUAGCUGCGAAUUUUUAUCUUUGUAUACUCUUAAUCGUUGCUCAAAAAAAAAAAAAGUAUACUCUUAAUCUUCCAAGUUGUUACUUUGUGACAGUUACCUAUGUUAUUGAGCAUAUUGCUGUCAUCUCUUUACAAGACGUGUUCUGAAUAAGCCAUGCAUUCCCAAGUGGUGGACCUCUCAAGAAUUAACAGAUCUGUCAUCUCUGAAACCGCUGACAUGAUUUGAUCAUGGGGUCCUUCUCUAUAUAUAGACAGACUUCAGCAUUGCAUGACAUCUAAGCGGCGGUACAAGCCAAAUAGCAGAGUAGUGCGUUUAUGAAACUGAAAUGCAGUAUCUAAAUGCCAAUACAUUACUGCCAAAAAAUUUGACAAGCAAACUAUUAGUAGAAACACCCGAACCAUAAAAUCAAAAGAAAGGGCAGUCCAAGUCUUUACUUUAAACAGAUUAAGAAAUUUAUGUUAAUGAUUUAGCCAAAGUUUGUUCUUUCCAAGUUCACACGUUUGUACACCUUUAAUAAAUAACAAAUUAUAGCCGAAGACGGCACCACGUAAAUCAGAACCACCGUAUACAAAACAUUUACACUUUACAACCUUGAGCUUUAAAAAGAGAAUCUGUUGUGAGGAAGAAUCAUGUCCCUACAAAAGGGUAUAUCUGCUGUAGAGUAGGUUUGGAGAUGAUAAAGCAAAAGAGUUCAUUCCUUAGCAAGAUCGUGCUUGCUCACAACAGCAAAGUUAUAACAUAUACAGUCAUUGAUCCAUUGCUUCGCUUGAAUAUGCAUGUGGGUAUUAUUGUUUGAUAGCGCAAAGGGCAUGAUGCAUAUCAGUUUUGUAUUCAACCACCAGAUACACCAGAACAGAUUCAUGGGUUCAGCACAAAAGAAAACCUCCAAGGACCAUGUUAGUGUUUAACAUGGUUCUCUUAAGAACCUUAUAAUCGGAAAUGCUUUCUUUUACAUGCACUUCAAUGACGAAAAGCAUAAACCAUCAUCUCAGCUAUCUCAUUGCUACUCAGGUCUUUCUCUGACUUUCUCUAUUUUCCUAUUUGUUCCAAAAAUUUUAGGUAAUAUAGACGAUGGUAUAGGAGAUUCACUAAUUUUUGUGGUGCAUCUUUGAAGAAUCUUCUGAACACAUGCCUUCUUAUAUACUACUACAAUAUUUAGUCUAAUGAUGGUCCUAAGCGAACACACUCUUUUCUGGGAUCACAAAACUUGAUUUCUUAAAAUCAAUCUUCACUCUAAACUUGCAACUUUAUAUGCUAUAUUCUCCCAAAGGAUUAUAGGGUCAUUGGUCUCCUUGAUUUCGUUUAAAAAUAUGUAGGUACAAUCGGCAAAGCUUGAGGAGAGGAUUAGAUUCAAAAUGUGUAAAGAAAUUUUGGAAAAAAGGCUAGAGGAAUUUGGCGUUGCCAGAAAGAGCAUGAGGAUUCUAUCGAGUAAGUUUUUUUUUUUUCUUUUUGGUCAAAUAUGGUGUAAGUUUUUUUUUUUUAAUUUGAGUAAUUAGCUCUUUUAGCACACCACACUGCAAUUUAUUGUAUUAGACAGCUUAAACUUAAGACUGAAAAAGCUGGCAAAUCAUAUAUACUGCUAUGCCUAACUGCGUACAUGUUUGUUUUUUUUGUUCUUCUCUAUAACGAAGUUGUAUAUGAUCUAAUCAUUUUACCUUUAAAAAGUGUACAUGCUAACCUUAGUGAAACUUAAUUUUUUUUUCACGACUACACAUAGUUUAUAGGCAUUUUCAAGUUCACUUAAACAGUACUCACCAUACCAUUCUUUGUUCUAAUAACAAACUGACUUAAAUGUAAUGGCACACAAACUAUAUAAUUAUUUAAAACAAAUUAAUCAUAACAAUUAGACAGUUGUAUGGUGCAUUUCAAUUUCAAGGUUGAACUUUAAAAGGUUAUUCGAAAUUAAGAAAAUGUUGUUGCCUACCUGGGAUUUGGACUGUUCUUCUCCACCUUCUUUCCAUACUCUCGACUCUGAUUAAAGCCGUAGUCGAGCACUUCCCCAUCAGACUAUGUCUUCAAUGCAACUCUUUCUCUUACUUUCUUCUUUUCUUUCUUAACAUGGUUUUCUUACAUAAUAAAAUAAGAAAGAAAACAAAUAGAUUCAGCAUAGAAUAACCUGUAAAAUAAGCAAUCAGAGACUUCAUGUCUUUACUGUCUUUUGAACCCAAUAAUUGAACCAUAAUUAACUAUAGUUGACUACUAAUUUAUCUUACCUACUACUUAUCAUAAUAAAUAUUUUUUAUUUGAAACAUUCUAAAAGUUUCAAUUUAGUUUUAUAAUUGAUUUUCUAAUUCUUAUAGUCAAAAUAUAUAUGUAUUAUAAUUUUUAUAUAAAGGUUGAUGUUUAAUAAACACACCAAAUACUUAGAAAAUUAAUGCAUGCAUAAUGAGAUGAAUAAACACUGGGUUUGAUUAGUUGAGGCUGUGGUUUUAUCUUUUUUGCUCUAAGAUUUAGGCUUUAGAUUUUUAGUUGUGUCUUUAAAUAUUUUGCUGUAGAAUUUUUUCCAAAGCACUAGAGAGAUUGAUUUCUAAAACUAAAUAUUUCCUUUAUAAAGUUUUGGCUGUAUAUUCAAUUUUUCAACAAAAACAUGAUUACUUUAAAAGAUGACCAUAGAAAUAAAAGGUUGUGUCCACAGCUUCGACAACAUCUUCCAAUCAACCUCACUAUUUACUGCAAAUAAGAACUCUAAAUACAGGCGAAACACAAUAUCUAACCAACAAAUAAUUACCGCCUGUAUUACUUGAUAACAAGCUCUCCAUUCUAAUAUAAAUUUGAACUAUAAGUUUAUUUACCCGCCCGUAGGGCGGGUUUACCCUAGUUUUCUAUUAUAAAAAAGGUAUUUGACUCUAGUUUCCCUAUUUACGCAUAUUUAAAAAACAUGUCGAUUUGGCAAAUAAACAAAGAAAUAUACCCUUGUUAUUCAAGUAGCUUUUCAACAGGAUUCACAAAAAAAAUAAUGAUAUUAUUUAGAUGGUAUCAUUGUGACUUUUAUUUUGUUUUUUGCCAUAACAUAAUAAAUAAAAAGCAUUAGAAGUAAAACAUGCAAAAUACGGUACUUAAAGUUUCACUAAAAAGGUUAGUAAAAUAGAAUACUCAUACCUAUAAUUUCUUUUUUUGUUGAUAGUUUUUUUCAGCGUGUGAGAUUUGUUGCUUUUUCCACAUGUUUUGAAAUUUCAUCAGUCAAUCAUUAUUUUUUAGCUCCAAAAAGAUAAAAUAGAAAUAUUUAAACAGUAUAUUUAGAGACAGAAAAAUUUCGAUAUAUCCAUUUUGUCUCGUCUCAAAUUUUAGAAAUUUGAAAAGAACUAUUACCUUUAGACUGUCGAAGAAUACCUUGCAGAAGUUUGAUAAAUAAUAGCCGUAGCCUGCCAUGAAUAUAGUUAACCAUUUAUAUCGGAAAAGAAGCAAUGUGUGCUCUUAUUAGGCUUGUGGAUUAGAGAAGAGAGUUUGAGUUUUUUUUAAUUAUUAAGCGAUCAUAGAAUAAUCUCACACAAAUAUAAAUAAUUGAAUAGAUGUAGUUAUUUUUAGAUUGCUCUUAAUGAUGAUCGUGGAGUUGUUGAAAAAAGAACCGCAUGCAAGGUGGAUUCAGAAAAUAUUUAUGUUUGAUAAAUAUUUAAAAUCACACGUAAGAAGGUUUGGUCUCUUCAUUCUUGAUUUUUUUUUUAAUUCUUAGAUUAUGUGGCAAAAUAUUUAUUGGUAGAGUGACUUAUGCUUUAGUAUAUGGAGGAUACUGAUAAAAUCAAGGAUAACAACUGUGGCGUUAGACAGAGAUCAACUGUGGCAUUUUGAUAUUAGUUGAUUAACAAAUCGAUUUUAUUAAAUAUUCCAUUUUUCGAGUUUUAAAUAUUUGGAAUUGAAUGUCACUUGUGAAAUGUACAUAUUUAAUCAAAAAACAUUAAGUCUUUAAGAAAAUCGCAACAUUUGAGUGGAUGUCAAAGAUCUAUAAUGAAAGCUAUCGUGAAAGUUGCAUAAGAUUUUCACGGAAACUAAAAGAAGAAGAUGAUUUAUUUACUGUUUUUGCCAUUUAUUAAAAAAUAUUUUAAAGAUACAAAAAAUGGUUUCACCAAACUACGAUACACAAUUGGUAUUUUACGUAAAGUUGAUUACUAUAUAAGCAUAUCCAUAAAAUUGAGAUAAACAUUAGAACUAAUCCCAUAUAUAUUUUACAUUAGAUAUGACUGAUAAGUUAUUGUUAUACGGUAUUAUAUAAUAUUAGCCGUAGAACAAUGAAUUUAAAAGACUAAAACAAAAGAUAAAUUGCUAAUUAUUAGAUAUUCCAGAUAAAUAAUUUAUUAUAUGUUAUUAUAUAUGUUAGUCGUAUAAAAUUAAUUUCAACGGUUAAUUUAAAAAAACAUGAAAAUGUAAUUGUUACAAUAUUAAAAUCUUUUGAAAUAUUUUACAUAAGAUAUGACUGAUUAAUUAAAUGUUAUGCAAUGUUAUAUAUAUAUUAGCCGGCGAAUAAUAAAUGUAAAAGACUAAACCGAGAAAUAAAUUGUUAUAAGUUAUUAGAUAUGCUGGAUAAAUAAGUUUUUAUAUUUUAUUAGAUAUUUUAGCAACACUGAAUCUAAAAAGUUAAUUCAAAAAUACAUGUAAAAAUAAAUAAAAUGUUAAAUUAUAUUGAAUAUGUUACUGUUUUAACAGUAAAUUACAAAAAUCAAUUCAAAAAUAUUAACCCAUAAUAACAUAUCUUCAAAGCUUGAUUACAGACCCCUAAUGAGCACAGUUUAAGAUAAUACAUAUAAGAACCCGAUUGUGCAAUUUUGCACUUAUUUGUUCUGGCAGCAAACUUACAUCGCUGCUGUAAACUUUAAAGAGAUCCUCUGCAAAGAUUUUUUGCUAAAGCUGAAAAAAACAUAUUGCAGAUUCAAUAGCCCACAGAUGGUUAAAGUUGAAAUAUUAUCUUUUAUAUACUCCAUCGCUACGACACCCUAGGAACAUGCAUGUAGAAAUUUAAGAUACUUGAAAACAGGAACAUACGUUACAAUAACUAACUGAGCCACGCAAGAAAAAUACUUACCUCAUUGAAUCAUUUUGUAUUGUUUGUUGAGUGAUCUCUUGAAUCCUUUAUUUCUACAAAGAAAAAGGGAUAAUAGGAUUUUAAUUAUGAAGAAUUGGCGAUUAAAUUUAAGAUUUUAAGUCUGAGGAAUGAAGAAGUACAAAUAUUUUGAAAUUAAAAAAAAUUGAAAUUUAAAAUAAUUUAAGAAUGAUUAAGGGUUGGGAACUUGUCUUAAGUAGUAAUGUUGCUGACGGUGGUAUACAAAAUGAUAUUGAGGACGA